GUACGGCCGCAAGGUUAAAACUCAAAUGAAUUGACGGGGGCCCGCACAAGCGGUGGAGCAUGUGGUUUAAUUCGAUGCAACGCGAAGAACCUUACCUGGUCUUGACAUCCACGGAAGUUUUCAGAGAUGAGAAUGUGCCUUCGGGAACCGUGAGACAGGUGCUGCAUGGCUGUCGUCAGCUCGUGUUGUGAAAUGUUGGGUUAAGUCCCGCAACGAGCGCAACCCUUAUCCUUUGUUGCCAGCGGUCCGGCCGGGAACUCAAAGGAGACUGCCAGUGAUAAACUGGAGGAAGGUGGGGAUGACGUCAAGUCAUCAUGGCCCUUACGACCAGGGCUACACACGUGCUACAAUGGCGCAUACAAAGAGAAGCGACCUCGCGAGAGCAAGCGGACCUCAUAAAGUGCGUCGUAGUCCGGAUUGGAGUCUGCAACUCGACUCCAUGAAGUCGGAAUCGCUAGUAAUCGUGGAUCAGAAUGCCACGGUGAAUACGUUCCCGGGCCUUGUACACACCGCCCGUCACACCAUGGGAGUGGGUUGCAAAAGAAGUAGGUAGCUUAACCUUCGGGAGGGCGCUUACCACUUUGUGAUUCAUGACUGGGGUGAAGUCGUAACAAGGUAACCGUA
Molecule: ribosomal RNA, 624 nt
Filed under: Escherichia coli
Lineage: Bacteria; Pseudomonadati; Pseudomonadota; Gammaproteobacteria; Enterobacterales; Enterobacteriaceae
Description: bacterial SSU rRNA
Rfam family: Bacterial small subunit ribosomal RNA
Source: RNAcentral